Cymbomonas tetramitiformis is the source of this 84-nucleotide non-coding RNA. NCBI's taxonomy places the organism in Eukaryota, Viridiplantae, Chlorophyta, Pyramimonadophyceae, Pyramimonadales, Pyramimonadaceae. The record is from the annotation of a GenBank genome assembly.
GUCAAGAUGCCCGAGUGGUCCAAGGGGUUAGACUCAAGUUCUAAUAGUCAGUAGACUGCGUGGGUUCGAACCCCACUCUUGAUA